Molecule: ribosomal RNA, 555 nt
Filed under: uncultured bacterium
Lineage: Bacteria
Description: partial 16S ribosomal RNA
Rfam family: Bacterial small subunit ribosomal RNA
Source: RNAcentral
UGGGGAAUAUUGGACAAUGGGCGCAAGCCUGAUCCAGCCAUGCCGCGUGAGUGAUGAAGGCCUUAGGGUUGUAAAGCUCUUUCGCCGACGAAGAUAAUGACGGUAGUCGGAGAAGAAGCCCCGGCUAACUUCGUGCCAGCAGCCGCGGUAAUACGAAGGGGGCUAGCGUUGUUCGGAAUCACUGGGCGUAAAGCGCACGUAGGCGGAUUGUUAAGUCAGGGGUGAAAGCCUGGAGCUCAACUCCAGAACUGCCCUUGAUACUGGCAAUCUCGAGUCCGGAAGAGGUAAGUGGAACUGCGAGUGUAGAGGUGAAAUUCGUAGAUAUUCGCAAGAACACCAGUGGCGAAGGCGGCUUACUGGUCCGGUACUGACGCUGAGGUGCGAAAGCGUGGGGAGCAAAACAGGAUUAGAUACCCUGGUAGUCCACGCCGUAAAACGAUGGAGGCUAGCCGUUGGCGAGCAUGCUCGUCAGUGGCGCAGCUAACGCAUUAAGCCUCCGCCUGGGGAGUACGGUCGCAAGAUUAAAAACUCAAAGGAAUUGACGGGGUCCUAGCU